GACGAACGCUGGCGGCGUGCUUAACACAUGCAAGUCGAACGAUGAAGCCGGAGCUUGCUCUGGUGAAUUAGUGGCGAACGGGUGAGUAACACGUGAGUAACCUGCCCUUGACUCUGGGAUAACUGCGGGAAACUGUAGCUAAUACCGGAUACGACCCUCGGAGGCAUCUCCUGGGGGUGGAAAGAAUUUCGGUCAAGGAUGGACUCGCGGCCUAUCAGCUAGUUGGGGAGGUAAAGGCUCACCAAGGCGACGACGGGUAGCCGGCCUGAGAGGGUGACCGGCCACACUGGGACUGAGACACGGCCCAGACUCCUACGGGAGGCAGCAGUGGGAAUAUUGCACAAUGGGCGCAAGCCUGAUGCAGCAACGCCGCGUGAGGGAUGACGGCCUUCGGGUUGUAAACCUCUUUCAGCAUCGACGAAGCGAAAGUGACGGUAGGUGCAGAAGAAGGACCGGCUAACUACGUGCCAGCCGCCGCAGUAA
RNAcentral lists this ribosomal RNA (483 nucleotides) under uncultured bacterium. RNAcentral's name for it is "partial 16S ribosomal RNA". It matches the Rfam family "Bacterial small subunit ribosomal RNA", at positions 28 to 523 of the family's 1533-position model. The record is from RNAcentral.